Pyrus x bretschneideri (Chinese white pear) is the source of this 629-nucleotide long non-coding RNA. RefSeq lists it as uncharacterized. The record is from RefSeq and is a predicted model, not a curated record. NCBI's taxonomy places the organism in Eukaryota, Viridiplantae, Streptophyta, Magnoliopsida, Rosales, Rosaceae. The transcript is spliced from 5 exons.
UUUUGUCCGGAAUUUAAAAGAAAAAUGGCCAUGAUUAACUUUGGGUUUUCUUUGUCUGUUCUACAUUUUAAAGUUUGAAUUAUGGAUUUUUUUUGUAUGUCAAUCCUUAAAUGAUCACUGUAUGGAUUUUUUUGGUGUUUCGGCAUAUGCCCUUAUUGGAAUUUUGUGAUUUGAGAAUUGUAGAAGUUAGUAGCAAUUCAAAACCCGUUAAAUGGGAUGAGAAUUAGAGUGAUUUGAAAUCGGCGAGCAAGGAAUUGUAGGUGGUAGUGAUACUGAUAAUGGUGGUGUUUUGGUUCUUCAUUCCUUCUCAUCACUUCUACAAGAGGUUAGGUAGCAGAGGAUGGAGGUGAGGAAUCCAAUUUGGAAAGAUGUGCUGAGAGGUUUACAAAACACCUUUGAAGCUGUGGGGUGUUUGGGAUUGAAAAGUUGGGAGAGGCCACAAAUGGGUUCAGAGAGAGUAGCUUGAUUAAAGGGUCCGUGUAUAAAGGUUUCAUUAAUGGAGAUUUCUAUGCCAUCAAGAAGAUGAAGUGGAACGCGUGUGAGGAGCUCAAGAUCUUAUAAAAGGCAGGCAAGAGAAAAGGGAUUGACAAAGCAGAAUGUUUUAGAGAAAGUUAGAAAGUGUCAGGUAA